AUCUUGUAAAUCAAAAAUAAGUAACUUUUUAAAACU
This 36-nucleotide transfer RNA is filed under the name Luciola sp. FM23. RNAcentral describes it as "partial tRNA-Thr". Lineage: Eukaryota; Metazoa; Arthropoda; Insecta; Coleoptera; Lampyridae. The record is from RNAcentral.